This 492-nucleotide ribosomal RNA is filed under the name uncultured bacterium. RNAcentral describes it as "partial 16S ribosomal RNA". It matches the Rfam family "Bacterial small subunit ribosomal RNA", at positions 28 to 507 of the family's 1533-position model. The record is from RNAcentral.
GAUGAACGCUAGCUACAGGCUUAACACAUGCAAGUCGAGGGGAAACGGCAUUGAGUGCUUGCACUCUUUGGACGUCGACCGGCGCACGGGUGAGUAACGCGUAUCCAACCUUCCCAUUACUGUGGGAUAACCUGCCGAAAGGCAGACUAAUACCGCAUAGUCUUCGAUGACGGCAUCAGAUUUGAAGUAAAGAUUUAUCGGUAAUGGAUGGGGAUGCGUCUGAUUAGCUUGUUGGCGGGGUAACGGCCCACCAAGGCUACGAUCAGUAGGGGUUCUGAGAGGAAGGUCCCCCACAUUGGAACUGAGACACGGUCCAAACUCCUACGGGAGGCAGCAGUGAGGAAUAUUGGUCAAUGGACGGAAGUCUGAACCAGCCAAGUAGCGUGCAGGAUGACGGCCCUAUGGGUUGUAAACUGCUUUUGUAUGGGGAUAAAGCUAGGGACGUGUCCCUAUUUGCAGGUACCAUACGAAUAAGGACCGGCUAAUUCCGUG